GGAUGGGUUCCCGAGCGGCCAAAGGGGGCAGACUGUAAAUCUGUUGUCGACGACUUCGAAGGUUCGAAUCCUUCCCCAUCCA
This 82-nucleotide transfer RNA is filed under the name Lachnospiraceae bacterium. RNAcentral describes it as "tRNA-Tyr". It matches the Rfam family "tRNA". From Rfam's summary of the family: Transfer RNA (tRNA) molecules are approximately 80 nucleotides in length. Their secondary structure includes four short double-helical elements and three loops (D, anti-codon, and T loops). RNAcentral also lists the same sequence under 2 other names. The record is from RNAcentral. Lineage: Bacteria; Bacillati; Bacillota; Clostridia; Lachnospirales; Lachnospiraceae.